Molecule: ribosomal RNA, 1193 nt
Filed under: Klebsiella pneumoniae
Lineage: Bacteria; Pseudomonadati; Pseudomonadota; Gammaproteobacteria; Enterobacterales; Enterobacteriaceae
Description: partial 23S ribosomal RNA
Rfam family: Bacterial large subunit ribosomal RNA
Source: RNAcentral
AGCACCUUCGGGUGUGACUGCGUACCUUUUGUAUAAUGGGUCAGCGACUUAUAUUCUGUAGCAAGGUUAACCGUAUAGGGGAGCCGCAGGGAAACCGAGUCUUAACUGGGCGUUAAGUUGCAGGGUAUAGACCCGAAACCCGGUGAUCUAGCCAUGGGCAGGUUGAAGGUUGGGUAACACUAACUGGAGGACCGAACCGACUAAUGUUGAAAAAUUAGCGGAUGACUUGUGGCUGGGGGUGAAAGGCCAAUCAAACCGGGAGAUAGCUGGUUCUCCCCGAAAGCUAUUUAGGUAGCGCCUCGUGAAUUCAUCUUCGGGGGUAGAGCACUGUUUCGGCUAGGGGGUCAUCCCGACUUACCAACCCGAUGCAAACUACGAAUACCGAAGAAUGUUAUCACGGGAGACACACGGCGGGUGCUAACGUCCGUCGUGAAGAGGGAAACAACCCAGACCGCCAGCUAAGGUCCCAAAGUCAUGGUUAAGUGGGAAACGAUGUGGGAAGGCACAGACAGCCAGGAUGUUGGCUUAGAAGCAGCCAUCAUUUAAAGAAAGCGUAAUAGCUCACUGGUCGAGUCGGCCUGCGCGGAAGAUGUAACGGGGCUAAACCAUGCACCGAAGCUGCGGCAGCGACACUAUGUGUUGUUGGGUAGGGGAGCGUUCUGUAAGCCUGCGAAGGUGUGCUGUGAGGCAUGCUGGAGGUAUCAGAAGUGCGAAUGCUGACAUAAGUAACGAUAAAGCGGGUGAAAAGCCCGCUCGCCGGAAGACCAAGGGUUCCUGUCCAACGUUAAUCGGGGCAGGGUGAGUCGACCCCUAAGGCGAGGCCGAAAGGCGUAGUCGAUGGGAAACAGGUUAAUAUUCCUGUACUUGGUGUUACUGCGAAGGGGGGACGGAGAAGGCUAUGUUAGCCGGGCGACGGUUGUCCCGGUUUAAGCAUGUAGGCUGGUUAUCCAGGCAAAUCCGGAUAAUCAAGGCUGAGGUGUGAUGACGAGGUACUACGGUGCUGAAGUAACAAAUGCCCUGCUUCCAGGAAAAGCCUCUAAGCAUCAGGUAACAUCAAAUCGUACCCCAAACCGACACAGGUGGUCAGGUAGAGAAUACCAAGGCGCUUGAGAGAACUCGGGUGAAGGAACUAGGCAAAAUGGUGCCGUAACUUCGGGAGAAGGCACGCUGGUGUGUAGGUGAAGUCCCUGCGG